Molecule: long non-coding RNA, 307 nt
Filed under: Elaeis guineensis (African oil palm)
Lineage: Eukaryota; Viridiplantae; Streptophyta; Magnoliopsida; Arecales; Arecaceae
Description: long non-coding RNA (EGUI_LNC040293)
Source: RNAcentral
UCUUAGAAUAGAAAAAUUAUAUUCUGCAUCACGUAUACUAACAUGACUGUGCACCUCAUCACGCUUAUCAUUGAGACAUAUUCUUAUGAGCCAAUCAUCAAGAUGAGUACAAGAUGAAUGAGAUCAAUAGAAAUAUAUAUCGAUAAUUGACAUGGUGAAUAGCUAUCUGGUGUAUGUAGUGCACAAUAUAUUAUUUCUCCCUAAAACAUGCGGAUCUUCUGUAGUGCACUGCACGGUGCAAUGCACUGCGAUGGACAGUGCACGCGCACGAUGGACAGCAUGCGUGAUGCACCGCAUAGUGUGGUAC